AUUGAACGCUGGCGGCAUGCCUAACACAUGCAAGUCGAGCGGAAAAAGGGAGCUUGUUCCUGACUUGAGCGGAGGGCGGGUGUGUUAUACCGGGGCGUAUGCCUGGUAGGGGGGGAUCGCAUCCGAAGAUGGGCGCUAAUCCCAUAUGAGUUCAGAGUGAGAACGGGGGGGAUCUUCGGACCUCUAUCUAUCAGCUGUUCCUAGGUCGGAUUAGCUAGUUGGUUGGGUAAAGGGCUACCAAGGCGACGAUCCGUCACUGGUCUGAGAGGAUGAUCAGCCAAACGGGAACUGAGACACGGUCCAGACUCCUACGGGAGGCAGCAGGGGGGAAUUUUGGACAAUGGGCGAAAGCCUGAUCCAGCCAAGCCGCGUGGGGGAAGAAGGUCUUCGGAUUGUAAAACCCUUUUAGGCGGGAGGAAGAGGAGGAAGGUUAAACCUUGCUGUUUUGACGGUAACAACAGAAAAAGCAACGGCUAACUUCGUG
RNAcentral lists this ribosomal RNA (484 nucleotides) under uncultured bacterium. Its description in RNAcentral is "partial 16S ribosomal RNA". It matches the Rfam family "Bacterial small subunit ribosomal RNA", at positions 30 to 507 of the family's 1533-position model. The record is from RNAcentral.